GAUGGCAGAAACAACCUGCAAUCUUGAACAAAAGCCGAUAAUGAUAUUAUCAAGUCCAAACAAAACGAAGAAUACCGAUUCUUCCAGAUUUCACAAUCGGACAAAUAGCUAGUGUUGGAAAUGAAUUCCAUUUUGGGAUUACAGUUUUGCCCUGAAUAGUUGAAUAUAUAAGAGGGAUCUCCGGUACUAUCCUAAUUCGAGAAGCCUCCAUUGUCGUCAGCAUCUGCUUUUAGCCGACAUCAAACUUCUCCAUCAAGAUCAACAUCAGCACAGAUCGACUUGGAUCCAUUCACGUGCUAUUGUCAUGAUUGAAACAGAAAGAAGAAGACCUUUGAGCAAUUCAAAGGAAUUCAAGAUGUGGAAUUUAUAUAAGGGGUUCAAAACAGGUGGGUCUUCUCUGGCCCAUGCUUUUGGUUUAGUUUGGAUUCUUAGAUAACUUGCCGGAAAUGAUCAGAAAAAAUGCGUUUGGGCACCAGUACAAUGGCCAGCAGUGUCUAAGCUUCAGUGACAGAUACAAGAAAAUAGAUCAACUGAUUCUACUGAGAGCUUCGAUUCCAAUUUGUCUGGCAUCUGCAUGUUUUUUCCAGCUUGAGUCAUUCGGUCAUAGUUUCAAAUUCAGUCUUCAGCUUUAAAGGCUUAACUUGGUUGAUUACAGCAGCUAUGGCUGGUUGCUUCUUAUGGAUUACAUAUUGGCUAAAAGCAUUUCAGCAAGUCAGAUAUAUGGCGCCUGUCGCAGCUAAAGAGACAUUCUACACCUCAGGAUGUUUGCCAAGAUUUUGCACCAGUGGCAAAGAAUGAUGGAAGCAGCAACUUUCAAAUUAAGACAUUUGUAAAUGCCAUAGCAGCACCGAUGUACCUAAUUGGAUCAAAAUCGCUCAUGUAUGUAUCUGGUUAACAUACCAGAUUUUCAAAUCUGUAAAAGAUACUUUGAUUACGGACAUAAUAUUUUGAACGUUUGUUUUUGUUGUAGUUAAACUUAUAACCAACCCCGCAGCAUCACGCGGAAUUGAUCUCUAUCGUUGUCUACACAAGCAAUUACUCUCCUGAACAACAGUAAUGUUAUGAGAUCAGGGAUACCAUGUAAUAUUAUGUAAUAAUUUCUUUCUUCCA
Molecule: long non-coding RNA, 1110 nt
Organism: Rosa rugosa (rugosa rose)
Lineage: Eukaryota; Viridiplantae; Streptophyta; Magnoliopsida; Rosales; Rosaceae
Exons: 6
Source: RefSeq, a predicted model, not a curated record